CAAAUACUCCCUUCGUCCCAAAAUUCUUGUCUUGAAUUUGUCUAGAUACGGAUGUACCUAAUACUAAAACAUGACUUGAUACAUCCGUAUUUGGAUAAAUCUAAGACAAGAAUUUUAGGACGGAGGGAGUACAAU
This is a non-coding RNA of Triticum aestivum (bread wheat), 135 nucleotides long. The record is from Rfam. NCBI's taxonomy places the organism in Eukaryota, Viridiplantae, Streptophyta, Magnoliopsida, Poales, Poaceae.